RNAcentral lists this long non-coding RNA (1056 nucleotides) under Phoenix dactylifera (date palm). RNAcentral's name for it is "long non-coding RNA (PDAC_LNC016134)". Lineage: Eukaryota; Viridiplantae; Streptophyta; Magnoliopsida; Arecales; Arecaceae. The record is from RNAcentral.
UUUAUUUACGGUUUUGAUGUUAUUGCUUGUGAGUUGAUAUGAUACAUAUGAGACGAAUUUUUAUCAACAUAUUUUCAUUAUUAUGUUGUUAUUGUUUAUGAGUUGAUGCGGCACCUAUGAGGCGUGCAUGUUGUUUAUAAUGAAAAUAUUGAGAUAAAUUCAUUUGGGAAGAAAUAACAUAUUUUUGAAAAUUUAUGAAAAUAUGUGAUGUGAUGGGAAUGUGAUUGAACAUGUAAAACUAGACAUGUAAUAUGGGUUGGACUAACCUUGUCAUAAGAUAGCGGCCACGAGCUGAUGCGUGGGAUAGCCUCCACGGGCUUACGCGUGGGAUAGCCUGCCACGAGCUGAUGCGUGGGAUUUGUGCAGUCUUGGACUGGGACAUGAUCUUGGUUAGUCCAACGCCAGAAAUGAAAAAGUUUGAAAACUUUGGAAUUUGAGUUAUACGGGAAUGGAUCACAUAAUGUGAAAAAGGAUUUGUGAAUAUGUACUGAUUACAUAUAUUUGUUGUUUGUUGAGCUUUUGAAAUGAUGAAAUGAUAUAUAUAUUUUGAUACUUGAUUAUUUUAUGAUUUUAUUGUGUAUGGCUGUUGGGAUUCUUACUGGGCUGGAAAAGCUCAUACUACACUUCCAUUUUUUGUCAGAGGCACUGGAUUCGUAGAAUCUGUCGGAUGGGACAAGAAGUGAGCACGAUCUGGAGUCAGACUGCUAGAUAGUUAGAAGUCAAUUUAUCUUUUAUUUAUGGACAUUUGAAAUUAUGUAAUAAGUCAGUACAUUGUAGCUGGAUUUGAUUGAAUUACAUCAAUCUUUGAUUUUGGCAUUUAUGGAAUUAUUGGAAUUAUUGGAAUUGUUGUUUAUCUUAGGCCUUGCAUGAUCUUUAGGGCAUUGCUCUAGGGCUCAUGCGGCCGGUCGCGUGCCGGACCCGGGUGAUGGGUUUGGGGCGUGACAGGUGCGAACCAAGCCAUUCGCACCGAUACAAGCCAUGAACCGAUGGGUUUGGGUCGGAACCGAUUUCAAUAACCGUACCGUACCGGUGCCUGUCGGUACCAGUAUGUACGGG